This is a long non-coding RNA of Cavia porcellus (domestic guinea pig), 2219 nucleotides long. Lineage: Eukaryota; Metazoa; Chordata; Mammalia; Rodentia; Caviidae. The record is from Ensembl.
GGGGGAUUCUUUGAUCCCCUGGGAUUGCAGCGUGGACUGCACGGCUGCGGGGAAGAGGCUUGACCAUGGGUGUUGGGGAAAACACGCUUCAGGCUCACUACGCCGAUCUGUCGCCCUCCCCCGGUGCCCACUCCUCGCCGUCCUCGCAGUCCUGGGAGCCUGGGCUCCUCGGGACUGCUCGCUCAGAGGUCACAGGACGCCGAGCGGGGACUGCCCGGCGCGGGUAGAGCAGAAGGAAGGAGUGAAGGGAGAGGGCGGCUGCCGGUGGGAAUGCGCGUUCUUCCCAGGAAGCGGAGCGGGACUGCCGCGUUCCCCUCGAUUUGCACCGUCAGCCGGGCCUGCCGUUUGGACAGAAGAGGGAGGCGCUGUGCGUGUCGCGGUGUCCCCGGACGCGGGCGCACAGAGUAUACGUGCGUGUGUGUGUGUGUGUGUGUGUGUGUGUGUGUGUGUGUGUGUAUCUGCGCCGCUGUCGCAGUGCUCAGGGCCUCGAGAGCGUCCGGAGCGAGUUCGAGGGUCACCUCCAGCAAUUCGCAGAAACUGAAAGAGGGGAGGACACACCUCCUUCCUCGGGAGGACUUGGAAGACUUUGCAUCUCCCCUCCCCCACUUUUCCGCCCGGCUCUUCUUUUGUUGUCAAGUCCUUUUGAUAAAUGGUGGGGCUGGAAGCGCUGGGAGCCUGGAGUCCGUCUGUGCCGCGCGGGGCGGGGGCCGGGUUUCGACCGGCGCGCACCCGGAGCGGAGCCGGGUACGCGCGGGGGUCCAGACUGGGACCUACCCUCACCCCUUUCCCCCUUCUGUCUGUUUCCCACUCCGCAAGGGUACAGAGAACUUUCUGGGAAUCGACGAGAUUUCUCUGACUGUCAUUUGCAUUGAAUUUAUCCGAAUAAAUCCAACUCUCAGGCAUCCAGCAGAACCCGCUCUCUACUGGCAAGCACUGUGCGAUGCACCCGGCCCAGCCAGGGUUGCGGGGUGGCUCCCGGGGCUCAGGGCGGCAGGUCUGACCUCCGAGGUCGGUGCACCAAAGGAAGGCACCCUCAGCUCCAGCGGCUUCUCGCUGCUCAGCGGUGUCUGGCGCCUUCACUUUGCUUAAUGCCUCGGGAACUUGCCUGGCUGAGUCCGCCAGCAGCGAAAAACUGAAAGCAAACUCUACUGCAGACGUAGCCUGAACUUUUCUCGACCCAAGUUUGCAACCAAGAUUGGUGACGGCUUUGGGAGGACCUCGGGCUUGGGAGUGCGCUGGCGCGGGGCAGGGUGGGGUCAAAGAGGGCACAGGAUGGCCGCGCCUGGCCGGAGGCGAAAAUGCUAGGGAAGCCUUCCACUCCACUCCUACUUCUUUACAACUCUGCGGCUCCGAAUGGUAAAAAAGAAAAGAAAGAGUAAGUUUCCAACCUGCCACGAACGCCCAGGCUGGAUCACACUAGGGGGCAACUCGAAGGGGCCGGACUUUUAAAACUUGCUGAAAGCUUGGCUCAGAAGCGUCAUCCCACGAAGCUCAAGAAAACUGAGGACCCUUUCACCUCCUUUGGGACGGAAUAGUCAGGAGCCAGUCCGGGCACCCCUCUGCCUACUUCUUUAUCCUGGCCUCGAACAAGAGGUUAAGUAACUACCCACCGACACUGUGGAGCUGCAAACUUUCAGCUCUGCGCUGCGAUCCACAGAAGAGGCCUGGACAUAGAGGGGCGGGAAAGACCACUCCUCCGCCCCCUCGACCCCAGGAGAGAUCUGCACCGGGAUGGCCGGGCGAGUGCGGUUCCCACAUGUCUGUUCCGAUGCUCAGAGCUGAUCCCCCAACUCCGGGCAGCCGGCGCUUUUCCCCUGAGUUUCGGAUUUAGGGAGCCCGCGGAGGGGCGCAAAGUGCGCGCGCGGACUGGCGCGGGGGCGGCCGCUCAUCUCACCGCGGGGCCUGUCGCCGGGCUGGCCGCGGCGGGUGAGUGAUGAGGGCAGAGAAGGGCGCCCAUAAAUCGUGGGUGUCAGGGCGAAAAACUCUCUUUAUUGUCUGCGUGAUGGAUGGGCCCGGGGACGAGACACCAAAUACUUCGUAUCGCCUUUAAAUGGGAACACAUUUUCCGCGGCCAUAAUUCAUGUUUUUUAAAUAGAAAGUUUGAAAUGUUGCCUAUAUUUCACCAGCCCUGACAUAUUUAUGAAUCGCUCCCUGCAUGCAAAUAUCAUUAUUUAAAGCGCCAGGGAGAGCGCGGGGGAGGGGAGAAGGCGCGGUCCCCG